This 29-nucleotide non-coding RNA is filed under the name Mus musculus (house mouse). The record is from RNAcentral. Lineage: Eukaryota; Metazoa; Chordata; Mammalia; Rodentia; Muridae.
CCUUAGUCCAUGGUGAUCUGAUAGGAUGC